Molecule: ribosomal RNA, 634 nt
Filed under: uncultured fungus
Lineage: Eukaryota; Fungi
Description: eukaryotic LSU rRNA
Rfam family: Eukaryotic large subunit ribosomal RNA
Source: RNAcentral
ACCCGCUGAACUUAAGCAUAUCAAUAAGCGGAGGAAAAGAAACUAACAAGGAUUCCCCUAGUAACUGCGAGUGAAGCGGGAAAAGCUCAAAUUUAAAAUCUGUCGUCCUUUGGGCGUCCGAGUUGUAUUCUGGAGAAGCGUCUUCCGCGUCGGACCGUGUACAAAUCUCUUGGAACAGAGUAUCAUAGAGGGUGAGAAUCCCGUCUUUGACACGGACUACCGUUGCUUUGUGAUGCGCUCUCAAAGAGUCGCGUUGUUUGGGAAUGCAGCGCAAAAUGGGUGGUAAAUUCCAUCUAAAGCUAAAUAUUGGCGAGAGACCGAUAGCGAACAAGUACCGUGAGGGAAAGAUGAAAAGCACUUUGGAAAGAGAGUUAAACAGUACGUGAAAUUGUUGAAAGGGAAACGCUUGAAGUCAGUCGCGUCGUAUGAGACUCAGCCUUGCUUCUGCUUGGUGUAUUUCUUGCACGACGGGCCAGCAUCGAUUUCGACCGGUGGAUAAAGUCGAGGGGAAGGUGGCAUCUUCGGGUGUGUUAUAGCCCCUCUUCGCAUACAUCGGUCGGGAUCGAGGUUCGCAGCACGCCUUUUGGCCGGGGUUCGCCCACGUACGUGCUUAGGAUGCUGGCGUAAUGGCCUU